AUACGUAGGGGGCAAGCGUUGUCCGGAAUUAUUGGGCGUAAAGCGCGCGCAGGCGGUCAUUUAAGUCUUGUGUUUAAUCCCAGAGCUCAACUCUGGUACGCAUGGGAAACUGGGUGGCUUGAGUGCAGAAGAGGAGAGUGGAAUUCCACGUGUAGCGGUGAAAUGCGUAGAGAUGUGGAGGAACACCAGUGGCGAAGGCGACUCUCUGGUCUGUAACUGACGCUGAGGCGCGAAAGCGUGGGGAGCGAACAGGAUUAGAUACCCUGGUAGUCCACGCCGUAAACGAUGAAUGCUAGGUGUUAGGGGGUUACCACCCCUUAGUGCCGAAGUUAACACAUUAAGCAUUCCGCCUGGGGAGUACGGUCGCAAGACUGAA
This 376-nucleotide ribosomal RNA is filed under the name uncultured bacterium. RNAcentral's name for it is "bacterial SSU rRNA". It matches the Rfam family "Bacterial small subunit ribosomal RNA", at positions 523 to 898 of the family's 1533-position model. The record is from RNAcentral.